This 1577-nucleotide long non-coding RNA is filed under the name Hordeum vulgare. RNAcentral's name for it is "long non-coding RNA (HVUL_LNC018037)". Lineage: Eukaryota; Viridiplantae; Streptophyta; Magnoliopsida; Poales; Poaceae. The record is from RNAcentral.
UUCUUUCCUAAUUUCUUAUUUUGAGGAAGAGUUGCCGCUCCUUUCAUACUUGAUUGUUUUCUUUUUCAAUUGACAUCAAAUGAACCUGUUUUUUUUCUUUUUAUUAUCGGUGCAGGUUUUAUGUAAGGAAGCUACCUUUUUGUUAUAUAGCUAGCGAACCCAUGGAUGAUUUCCUUCUUCACUUUCACAAACUGUACGUGUGGGUCUUUUUUUCGCCGGGCCAUCUAUAUCGUAGAAGUUUCAGCCGGGAGGAGUCCUGGGAGAGACAUUUUCCCUUUAUUUUGCUUGUUCAUUUUUAUUUUUAAUCAGGAAAAUAAAGAUUUUACUGAUGGACUUUCAUGGGUAAUAAAAUAGAUAUGUGGUUUUUUUCACUGGCCAUACCUGUUACUAAAAUUAUCUACAUCUUGUCAUGUGGAGCUCAUGUACAAAAUUUUGUGGAUACAAAAGGUAUUAGUAUACGAUAUGUUCUGUACUUAGUUACAUCUUCCUUCUGUCCUCACGGCUGCUCGAAACUUCUGUUCCAAUACUUGAGUAUUGUAUUGCUAUGUAUUCAUGUUGAUGGCUUUACUAAGAAUCAAAAAUAAAUUUUGGGAUAUUGAAACAUAAAACCCAGCCAACCUGUCUCUUCUACUGUCUUUUGAUUUUAGUUCGGCAACCUACUUUAUGCUUAAUUAAUCAUAUGUUGCUAUUUACUAGAGCAGUGUGAGAAUUUACCAUUAUUUUGAGUUUAAUUCUUAUUAUAUGAAUAUGAACCACUUGUCAUGGUAGCACUACUUGAAGUGCACGCCUUGCAAUAACUAGCAUGGUAGCCCAAUGACGCUCUUUUUGUAGGAGAUUCUGUUUUACAAUGUCUUCUCGUCUAAUAUAAUUUUAUGCUUAUGAAAAUGUAAAGCAUGUUUUCGGUGUUUUAUACUUGUAGAGAAGAGGUAAUAUGGAAUUUUGUUUUCUCAAGAUACGAGUGAAAUCAUGGGCUUGAAAACUAGCGACAACUAUUUAAUUCUAGUUCAUAGUUUAUGCUCAUGCUUAGUGGAGUAAUUACGUGAGUUACUAAGUGGCUGAUUUAAGUUGGAUUGAUUUUCUGCGUUCUUUACUUGCCGUGGAUAUUCUUGGUUUCUCGCAUAAGCAUGCUGAUAUGUAUGAUAUGUCCAUUCCUUUUGUUUGUCUCUUCUUUUUUUUUUGAGCUCAAGAUUUUUCAUCUAACUUGUUCUUUGUUUGUUUUUUAAAUGUGCACAUAUUUUCUACUCAAAAGCAGAAUGUUGCUUUGCUUCAUGACAAGUACUAGAGUUCAUGCUCGAGAAGAAGAGGCAAGCCUGAGUUGAUGCGAGAGGAGCUUGUGGAGGCCAAGGAGAAAUACGAGAGUAUCAGUUGUUACUUAAAAGAGUUGGUGCCAUGUUAUGUUACUAUUCUAUAAUUAUAAUAAGUUACUUGUGGACAAUGUGGACAAGGUCCAUUUUAUGAACAUGGUGUAAUGGUACAAAGUAACUAGUUGUUUUUUCUGGUUGGCACAUCUUAUGAACCUAUUGUUUAAUGAUACUGCUGGGCCCAAUAUUAUCCUGGUUACCUGCCAAAUUGUGUUA